CAAUACAGGAGUGGCAGACGGGUGAGUAACGCGUGGGAACGUGCCCUUCGGUUCGGAAUAACCCAGGGAAACUUGGGCUAAUACCGGAUACGUCCUUAACGGGAGAAAGAUUUAUUGCCGAAGGAUCGGCCCGCGUCCGAUUAGCUUGUUGGUGAGGUAAUGGCUCACCAAGGUGACGAUCGGUAGCUGGUCUGAGAGGAUGAUCAGCCACACUGGGACUGAGACACAGCCCAG
Molecule: ribosomal RNA, 234 nt
Filed under: uncultured bacterium
Lineage: Bacteria
Description: partial 16S ribosomal RNA
Rfam family: Bacterial small subunit ribosomal RNA
Source: RNAcentral